This 109-nucleotide non-coding RNA is filed under the name unclassified sequences. RNAcentral describes it as "drum RNA". It matches the Rfam family "drum RNA". From Rfam's summary of the family: Firmicutes, Bacteroidetes (1 example), Proteobacteria (2 examples), Spirochaetes (2 examples). Terminator (Clostridia) The record is from Rfam by way of RNAcentral.
UGGCGUUGAAGCGGCAAGCUGUUUCGGGUCGCAGUUUUCCGUGGAGCUUGAUCGAGGGUUAUGUGUUACCUCAACCCGAAUAGGCAUUCGCCGAAAGAAAACACUUCAU